RNAcentral lists this ribosomal RNA (292 nucleotides) under uncultured bacterium. RNAcentral's name for it is "partial 16S ribosomal RNA". It matches the Rfam family "Bacterial small subunit ribosomal RNA", at positions 505 to 796 of the family's 1533-position model. The record is from RNAcentral.
GUGUCAGCAGCCGCGGUAAAACGUAGGAGCCAAGCGUUAUCCGAAUUCACUGGGCGUAAAGCGCGUGUAGGCGGUCCGGUAAGUUGGCUGUGAAAUCUCCCGGCUCAACUGGGAGGGGACGGUCAAGACUGUCGGACUGGAGGACGGUAGAGGGAGGUAGAAUUCCCGGUGUAGUGGUGAAAUGCGUAGAUAUCGGGAGGAAUACCAGUGGCGAAGGCGGCCUCCUGGGCCGUUCCUGACGCUCAGACGCGAAAGCUAGGGGAGCAAACGGGAUUAGAUACCCCAGUAGUCC